GACCCGUUAGCUCAGGUGGUAGAGCAACUGACUUUUAAUCAGUGGGUCGUAGGUUCGAGUCCUACACGGGUCACCA
This 76-nucleotide transfer RNA is filed under the name Erysipelothrix sp. RNAcentral describes it as "tRNA-Lys". It matches the Rfam family "tRNA". From Rfam's summary of the family: Transfer RNA (tRNA) molecules are approximately 80 nucleotides in length. Their secondary structure includes four short double-helical elements and three loops (D, anti-codon, and T loops). Lineage: Bacteria; Bacillati; Bacillota; Erysipelotrichia; Erysipelotrichales; Erysipelotrichaceae. RNAcentral also lists the same sequence under 3 other names. The record is from RNAcentral.